UACGAAGGGGGCUAGCGUUGUUCGGAUUUACUGGGCGUAAAGCGCACGUAGGCGGAUCGUUAAGUCGGGGGUGAAAUCCUGGAGCUCAACUCCAGAACUGCCUUCGAUACUGGCGAUCUUGAGUCCGGGAGAGGUGAGUGGAACUCCUAGUGUAGAGGUGGAAUUCGUAGAUAUUAGGAAGAACACCAGUGGCGAAGGCGGCUCGCUGGGCCGGUACUGACGCUGAGGUGCGAAAGCGUGGGGAGCAAACAGG
This 253-nucleotide ribosomal RNA is filed under the name uncultured bacterium. RNAcentral describes it as "partial 16S ribosomal RNA". It matches the Rfam family "Bacterial small subunit ribosomal RNA", at positions 524 to 776 of the family's 1533-position model. The record is from RNAcentral.